CAUUAAAUCAGUUAUCGUUUAUUUGAUAGUACCUUACUACUUGGAUAACCGUGGUAAUUCUAGAGCUAAUACAUGCUAAAAACCCCGACUUCGGAAGGGGUGUAUUUAUUAGAUAAAAAACCAAUGCCCUUCGGGGCUCCUUGGUGAUUCAUAAUAACUUAACGAAUCGCAUAGCCUUGUGCUGGCGAUGGUUCAUUCAAAUUUCUGCCCUAUCAACUUUCGAUUGUAUGGUAUUGGCUUACAAUGGUUUCAACGGGUAACGGGGAAUUAGGGUUCUAUUCCGGAGAGGGAGCCUGAGAAACGGCUACCACAUCCAAGGAAGGCAGCAGGCGCGCAAAUUACCCAAUCCCGACACGGGGAGGUAGUGACAAUAAAUACUGAUACAGGGCUCUUUUGGGUCUUGUAAUUGGAAUGAGUACAAUUUAAAUCCCUUAACGAGGAACAAUUGGAGGGCAAGUCUGGUGCCAGCAGCCGCGGUAAUUCCAGCUCCAAUAGCGUAUAUUAAAGUUGUUGCAGUUAAAAAGCUCGUAGUUGAACCUUGGGUUUGGUUGGUCGGUCCGCCUCACCGCGUGCACUGAUCCGACCGAAUCUUUCCUUCUGGGGAACCGUAUGCCCUUCACUGGGUGUGCUGGGGAACCAGGACUUUUACUUUGAAAAAAUUAGAGUGUUCAAAGCAGGCCUAUGCUCGAAUACAUUAGCAUGGAAUAAUAGAAUAGGACGUGUGGUUCUAUUUUGUUGGUUUCUAGGACCGCCGUAAUGAUUAAUAGGGAUAGUCGGGGGCAUCAGUAUUCAAUUGUCAGAGGUGAAAUUCUUGGAUUUAUUGAAGACUAACUACUGCGAAAGCAUUUGCCAAGGAUGUUUUCAUUAAUCAGUGAACGAAAGUUAGGGGAUCGAAGACGAUCAGAUACCGUCGUAGUCUUAACCAUAAACUAUGCCGACUAGGGAUCGGGCGGUGUUAUCUUUUUGACCCGCUCGGCACCUUACGAGAAAUCAAAGUC
This 998-nucleotide ribosomal RNA is filed under the name Natara olivacea. Its description in RNAcentral is "SSU rRNA". It matches the Rfam family "Eukaryotic small subunit ribosomal RNA", at positions 99 to 1105 of the family's 1831-position model. The record is from RNAcentral. Lineage: Eukaryota; Fungi; Ascomycota; Leotiomycetes; Helotiales.